Molecule: ribosomal RNA, 943 nt
Filed under: Astrochele pacifica
Lineage: Eukaryota; Metazoa; Echinodermata; Ophiuroidea; Euryalida; Gorgonocephalidae
Also listed under: 1 other name
Description: SSU rRNA
Rfam family: Eukaryotic small subunit ribosomal RNA
Source: RNAcentral
CUGUGGUAAUUCUAGAGCUAAUACAUGCCACGAAGCGCCGACCUUACGGAAGGCGUGCUUUUAUUAGGAUCAAGACCAACACGGGCUUGCCCGGCUUCGUUGGUGAACUCUGGAUAACUUCGCAGAUCGCAUUGUCAUCGAACAGGCGACAUUUCUUUCAAACGUCUGACCUAUCAAUUUUCGAUGGUACGAUAUGCGCCUACCAUGGUGCUAACGGGUGACGGGGAAUCAGGGUUCGAUUCCGGAGAGGGAGCCUGAGAAAUGGCUACCACAUCCAAGGAAGGCAGCAGGCGCGCAAAUUACCCACUCUCGACACGAGGAGGUAGUGACGAAAAAUAACAAUACAGGACUCUUUCGAGGCCCUGUAAUUGGAAUGAGUACACUUUAAAUCCUUUAACGAGGAUCUACUGGAGGGCAAGUCUGGUGCCAGCAGCCGCGGUAAUUCCAGCUCCAGUGGCGUAUAUUAAUACUGCUGCAGUUAAAAAGCUCGUAGUUGGAUCUAGGGCGUAGGCUGAGGGUCCCUCGCAAGGGGUGCACCUCUCAGACCUGGCCUCCCUCGCGGUUUGCGCUCGGUUCUCUUGAUUGAGUGCCGAGUGCUACCGGAACGUUUACUUUGAAAAAAUUGGAGUGUUCAAAGCAGGCGUAACAGCCUGAACAGCAGAGCAUGGAAUAAUGGAAUAGGACCUCGGUUCUAUUGCGUUGGUUUUAAGAGUUACGAGGUAAUGAUUAAGAGGGACUGACGGGGGCAUUCGUAUUGCGGUGUGAGAGGUGAAAUUCUAGGAUCGCCGCAAGACGACCGACAGCGAAAGCAUUUGCCAAGAAUGUCUUCAUUAAUCAAGAACGAAAGUUAGAGGUUCGAAGGCGAUCAGAUACCGCCCUAGUUCUAACCAUAAACUAUGCCGACCGGCGAUUCGCCGGCGUUACUCCAAUGACACGGCAGGCA